GUCUCUGUAGCGCAAUCGGUUAGCGCGUUCGGCUGUUAACCGAAAGGUUGGUGGUUCGAGUCCACCCAGGGACG
Non-coding RNA from Macaca mulatta (Rhesus monkey), 74 nucleotides. NCBI's taxonomy places the organism in Eukaryota, Metazoa, Chordata, Mammalia, Primates, Cercopithecidae. The record is from Rfam.